This 737-nucleotide long non-coding RNA is filed under the name Arabidopsis lyrata. RNAcentral's name for it is "long non-coding RNA (ALYR_LNC001698)". The record is from RNAcentral. Lineage: Eukaryota; Viridiplantae; Streptophyta; Magnoliopsida; Brassicales; Brassicaceae.
GAGCUUGGAAAUCUGAAGAGUCUGAUCAGUUUGGAUCUGUACAACAACAAUCUCACCGGGAAAAUUCCAUCGUCUUUGGGAAAAUUGAAGUCACUUGUCUUUCUGUAAGUUUUGGGGAAAGGAUAUGGAGUUUUGUAUCAGUAGUUGAGUAGGUGUUACUUGCUUUUGCUUUCUCUCUGUGUUAUGACAUUCUAAGUAAUUGCUUGACAUGACACAGACGGCUUAACGAAAACCGAUUGACCGGUCCAAUUCCUAGAGAACUCACGGCUAUCUCAUGCCUCAAAGUUGUGUAAGUUCAACUACUUCCAGCAAUGUAUCGCUUCUGUUUGCUAAUUACUGUGCCACACAAGUCUACAAGUCUUUUCGUUCACCUGAUAUAGAUACGCUUUCUUUGUCUUUUUGUUUUGGCAGUGAUGUCUCCGGCAAUGAUUUGUGUGGAACGAUCCCAGUAGAAGGACCUUUUGAACACAUUCCUAUGCAAAAGUAAGUUCUGUUUUUGUUUCCUUUGUUUUAUGACCAACAUUUUCCCUUAACACAAAACUUGUUUUCUAACACAAAGCCCAUUGCUACAGCUUUGAGAACAACCUGAGAUUGGAGGGACCAGAACUACUAGGUCUUGCGAGCUACGACACCAAUUGCACUUAAAAAGAAGUUGAAGAACCCUAGAAGAAGAAUGGGGGUGACCUUGUAAGAACUCUGUACCAAGUGUUUGUAAAUCUAUAUAGCGCCUUGUUUCA